RNAcentral lists this ribosomal RNA (502 nucleotides) under uncultured bacterium. Its description in RNAcentral is "partial 16S ribosomal RNA". It matches the Rfam family "Bacterial small subunit ribosomal RNA", at positions 28 to 507 of the family's 1533-position model. The record is from RNAcentral.
GACGAACGCUGGCGGCGUGCUUAACACAUGCAAGUCGAACGGUGACGGGGUGUGCUUUUGUGGGCCCUGGUUGAGUGGCGAACGGGUGAGUCACACGUGAGUAAUCUGCCCCCUUCUUGUGUAUAAUCGCAUGAAAGUGUGUCUAAUACGGGAUAUUCUCGGUCUGUCGCAUGUUGGGUCUGGGAAAGGUUGCGCCUUUGGGUGUUUUUUGUGGCGGAUGUGCUCGCGGCCUAUCAGCUUGUUGGUGGUGUGAUGGCCUACCAUGGAGGUGACGCGUAGCCGAGAUGGGAGGGUGGAAGGUUAGAAUGGGACUGAGGCACAGACCAGAAUCGUACGGGAGGGAGGAGUAGGGAAUAUUGCGCAAUGAGGGCAAGCCUGAUGCAGCGGCGCCGCGUAAGAGAGGGUGGCGUUCGGGUUGUAAACCUCUUAGGGAAGAGAAGCAGGCCUGGUAAUUGUGGGUGGGUUGACGGUAGCUAGAUAAGAAGCGCCGGCUAACUACGUG